GCAGUGGUGGUUAGAAGGUAGAAUUCUUACCUUUCAUGUGGGAGACCUGGGUUCAAUUCCCGGCCAGUGCA
Molecule: transfer RNA, 71 nt
Filed under: Loxodonta africana (African savanna elephant)
Lineage: Eukaryota; Metazoa; Chordata; Mammalia; Proboscidea; Elephantidae
Rfam family: tRNA
About the family: Transfer RNA (tRNA) molecules are approximately 80 nucleotides in length.
Source: Rfam by way of RNAcentral